This 492-nucleotide ribosomal RNA is filed under the name uncultured bacterium. RNAcentral's name for it is "partial 16S ribosomal RNA". It matches the Rfam family "Bacterial small subunit ribosomal RNA", at positions 29 to 507 of the family's 1533-position model. The record is from RNAcentral.
AGUGAACGCUGGCGGUAGGCCUAACACAUGCAAGUCGAACGGCAGCACAGUAAGAGCUUGCUCUUACGGGUGGCGAGUGGCGGACGGGUGAGGAAUACAUCGGAAUCUACUUUUUCGUGGGGGAUAACGUAGGGAAACUUACGCUAAUACCGCAUACGACCUACGGGUGAAAGCAGGGGAUCUUCGGACCUUGCGCGAUUGAAUGAGCCGAUGUCGGAUUAGCUAGUUGGCGGGGUAAAGGCCCACCAAGGCGACGAUCCGUAGCUGGUCUGAGAGGAUGAUCGGCGACACUGGAACUGGGACACGGUCCCGGCUCCUACGGGAGGCAGCAGUGGGGAAUAUUGGGCAAUGGGCGCAAGCCUGAUCCAGCCAUACCGCGUGGGUGAAGAAGGCCUUCGGGUUGUAAAGCCGUUUUGUUGGGAAAGAAAAGCAGCAGGUUAAUACGCAGCUGUUCUGACGGUACCCGAAGAAUAAGCACCGGCUAACUUCGUG